GCCACAACUCCACAUUUUCUCCUGCACUCCACUAUCACCGAAACAACUUGGUGAAUCUUCUACGUGGCUCUUGCUCCUCUGAUUUGGUGGGGGGGUAAACCUCCAUUGGUUUCCUAAGCUUUCCAUUGAUGUCCUGGCUGCGAUCUCAUGAGCUAGUCUGUUUCCCUCUCUAGGCGUCCAGCUAAAGCUGCUUCCCCCGUCUCUCUACAAAGGGACGCAUCGAAAUUUAUUUUUAGCCAUUCCUUCAGUGGAGGUCUCCAGGUUUUAUGUGUUGCUACUAGUGCAGAAGUUAAAGAAAGGAGCUUGAUAAACUAGUUAGAAUGCUAGUGUAAAUGUAGGUUGAUGAGAACUCCCUAUUGGAGAAGAACCCGGUGUUCUAGAAGAACUCUCCUAUUGAGAGAGAAAAUUCUCCUAUUGAGACGAACACAUCCUUAAUUCUUACCGAUAGCUAGUAUUAAACUUUUAUUAUUGAAUUCUUUUUUCCAACCUAUACAAAUAGGCCCAUUCCAACACUCUAACCUAUUAAGCUUUUUUUUCCGAUGAAAAAAAUAUUUAAACUCCACCCACUUGGACUCAGACCAACCUUAAGCUCCAUUAGCAUUAAACACUUUUUUCCCAUUCAUUUCAUUUCAAACCCAACUCUCAACUCCAAAUAAAUACCCAACCUGCUACAGUUUUUCAACCAAAGCCCAAUAUCUCCAUGUCCACACUAAUAACAUCCAACUGCCCCAUUAUAAUACCAGGAAAAAAAAAAACAUACAGCUCAGCAUACUUGUAUUUAAUCUCCUGGACAUGUUUUCAAUUAUUAAAAAACAGGGAUAUAGAAUGAAAAA
Arachis duranensis is the source of this 833-nucleotide long non-coding RNA. RefSeq lists it as uncharacterized. NCBI's taxonomy places the organism in Eukaryota, Viridiplantae, Streptophyta, Magnoliopsida, Fabales, Fabaceae. The transcript is spliced from 4 exons. The record is from RefSeq and is a predicted model, not a curated record.